Molecule: non-coding RNA, 422 nt
Organism: Agelaius phoeniceus (red-winged blackbird)
Lineage: Eukaryota; Metazoa; Chordata; Aves; Passeriformes; Icteridae
Source: RefSeq, a predicted model, not a curated record
CCAGUACAGAUGUGCACAGCUCCUUCACCCCCAAGGCUGCCAGAAGGUGACAGCUCUGUGUGUGCCUGCAGCUGCCUCAGAAAAAGGUGGUAGAAAAUGGCCAGAGCAAGGUAGGUGGAAGGCACAUCCUCUGUCUCCUUCUCAAGCUCAGCAGUGGCUGGUGAAGAAUUCAAGAGUGUACCAGUAAGCUUGGACCCACCUCAGCCCAGUGGCUUUUGUUUAGGAGCAGCAAACCAUGGAUUCCCAUCCGUGUACCACUGUGUCUGUGCCUCCUUAUGGAAAACACAGGGAGCAGCCAGCACCCCUGGGGCCAGGAGCCUUGGACAAGGACCACCAGGACAUGCUGAAGCCUUUGUCUGAGCUGAAAACUCUUGUUUUCAAGUGGCACUCAAAAAUGGAAUAAAAAUUAGAAUAUUUCUGAA